RNAcentral lists this long non-coding RNA (1439 nucleotides) under Bemisia tabaci. RNAcentral's name for it is "lncRNA ENSSSA3NGG014859". Lineage: Eukaryota; Metazoa; Arthropoda; Insecta; Hemiptera; Aleyrodidae. The record is from RNAcentral.
UUAUUUUUGAGGAAAGAUGUGGAUAUUUUUCCUUGAAAUUUUCAGGGACUUCAGGUGAAAUUGCGAACAAAAUUAUCUGAAAAAUUGGAAGGAAAAUAUUCGUAAGUUUACUAGAAAAUUGGCGUUUUAUUAAAGGAAAUUUGGCAACGCCUGAAGGCUCAUACGGCGUUCUUCCUAAGCACGGCAGUAUAGUGUUCAAAUAAAAAGAUGUAAAUCAGUGGCGUGGCGUGCUUUGCGAUUUAUCGAUUGAUCUACCAUUUAAACCAAUAGAAAAGGAUCGAUAAACAGGGUGUUCAAUGAACACCUCAAUAACCGAUUCUUUACAAUAACUUCAAAUGGGGAUUCAUCUAUAAUCGAUCAUUCACGCCACGCUACUGAUGUAAACUAAAAGUCAGGCUCUUUAAUUAUGUGUAAUAUUCUCAUAGGGAUACCUUGAAUUAGCCUAAAAUUUGUUCAAAAUUUUCCCUGAAUAAUUUGGCUUAUUUUCGCUGAAUGUCACUCAUUUGACAUAUUUAGGUUCAUCGACAUGGUGACAGAGCCCUGAACGUUCAUAUCCCCUCGAUCCGUACAAAGACAAAUCGUUUUGGCCGGAUGGACUCGGAGCUUUAUCACAGCGCGGGAAAAUCGGAUUACACAGGUUGGGUAACUUUUUGCGGCAACGUUACGAUGGAUUUCUGUCAGCCAAGUACUCACCGUCUGAGAUUUUCGUCUUUUCGAGUUUUUAUGAUCGAUGUUUAAUGAGCGCAAGCCUCGUCUUGGCGGGGCUCUAUCCUCCCGUUGGACACCAACUUUGGAACCCAGAUUUAAAAUGGCAGCCGAUUCCUGUCCAUACUGUUCCUUUACAAUACGAUGAUAUCAUUCGCGUAUCUAAACAUUGUCCCCUCUUGGCGAAAGAGGAGGCCGACUGGCAAAGCGUCAUCAAACUGAAACUGGUCAAAAUCAAGAACUUCUUGCAAACAUUUCAAAGGGCACUGGCCUUGAAAUGAGAACAAUCUUGGACGUCUUCUUCAUAGAUGACAAUUUGAAAGUCGUGGAGGAGGAAGGACUUCCGUUGCCUCAGUGGGCUCACAGUAUUGACCGGGAAAGACUCCGAUCACUCAGCAAUAUCGGAACUUUGAAACACUUUGCAACACCCGCCAUGAACAAACUCAAAUCAGGUAGCGAAAUAUUGUUGACACAUACAUCAGCUACCUAUACUGCCGUGCUAAGGAAAAACGCCGUAUGAACCUUCAGGCGUUGCCAAAUGUCCUUUGAUGAAACGCGAAUUUCCUGUUGAAAUGUAUGAAUAUUUUCCUGCCAAUUUUUCAGAUAAUUUUGUUCGCAAUUUCACCUUAAGUUCCCGAAAAUUUCAAGGAGAAAUGUUCAUAACUUUCCUCAAAAAUACACAUUUUAUCAAGGAAAUUUGGCAAUUCUCGAACGUUCAUACGAUGUUCUUUCUU